Acinonyx jubatus (cheetah) is the source of this 5102-nucleotide long non-coding RNA. RefSeq lists it as uncharacterized. The record is from RefSeq and is a predicted model, not a curated record. The transcript has 2 exons. Lineage: Eukaryota; Metazoa; Chordata; Mammalia; Carnivora; Felidae.
AUUUUGUUACGGUUUAUUUAUUUUUGAGACAGAAAGAGACAGAGCUUGAGUGGGGGAGGGGCAGAGAAAGAGAGGGAGACACAGAAUCCAAAGCAGGCUCCAGGCUCUGAGCUGUUGGCACAGAGCCCAACGCGGGGCUUGAACCCACAAACCGCGAGAUCAUAACCUGAGCUGAAGUUGGCUGCUUAACCAAUGAGCCACCCAGGCUCCCCUAAUUGUUGUAUUUCUGUAGUGUUCGUUGUGAUCUCUCCUUUUUCAUUCUUCAUGUUAUCUAUCUGGGUCCUUUCUCUUUUCUUUUUGAUCAGUCUGGCUAGGGGGUUAUCAAUUUCAUUAAUUCUUUUGAAGAACUAGCUCUUAGUUUUGUUGAUCUAUCCUACUGGGAUUUUUUGUUUCUGUAUCAUUUAUUUCUGCUCUAGUCUUAAUUAUUUCCCUUUUUCUUCUGGCUUUAGGCUUUAUUUGUUCCUUUUCUAGCUCCUUUAGGUACAAGAUUAGGUUGUUUAUUUGAGACCUUUCUUGCCUCUUGAGGUAGGCCCGUAUUGCAAUAUACUUCCAUUUUAGGAAUGCCUUUGCUGUAUCCCAAAGGUUUCAUUUGAACUGUCGUGUGUUCAUUUUCAUUUGCUUCCAUGUACUUUUUUUAUUUCAUCUUUAAUUUCCUUUUAACCCAUUCAUUCUUUAGUAGGAUGUUCUUUAAGGUCAAUGUAUUUGUGGUCUUUCCAAAAUUUUUUUUUUUGUGGUUAACUUCAAGUUUCAUAGUGUUGUGAUCUGAAAAUAUGCAUGGUAUGAUCUCCACUUUUUUGUACUUGUUGAGGGCUGAAGUGUAACCCAGUUGAUGAAUAUUUGGGUUGCUUCUAGUUUUUGGCUACUAUGAAUAAUGCUGCCUAAGAAAGCAUGUCAUUUGGUGCAUAAAUCCAUGCAUUUCUGUUGAGUAUAUACCUAGGGAGUUAGAUAUUCAUGUCAUAGGAUGUAUGUAUGUUUUUAGGUUUGGUAGGUAACAUUGAACAGGUUUUUAAAAAUUUUUAUGCCGUAUAUACCCCCAUUAACAAGAACGAAGCAUUGCAGUUGCUCCAUGUCAUUACCAGCAUGUGAUGUGAUCAGUCUUUUAUAUUUUAACCAGUGGUUGAUAUGCUGAUAAAGUUUUAACAACUGCCCCUCUCCUAGAAGUCCUAGGUGGUAGCACUUGCCAACUAUUGUGGUAUAAAUACUCCCACCAGAGCCGAUUUUAAGCUACCAACAUGAUGUCCUUGAGACAGAAUUGGACAGAAGUGUGCAAAAUGAGCUCUCACCAGUUGGUAUGAGCAGCGACAGCCACCUGAUUGUAGCCAUUUGAUGCCUUUUGACAGCCAUCAAAGUCUAAGACAGGAGAGGAUAGUGGGAAAUAAAAUGUUGGUCAUUGAGCAUAUAGUUAAAAGUAUCAGCAAGGAUUUACAGUGAAUAUAGGAUCUCAGUUGGAGGCCAAGACAGGGAAACUGCCACACAUGCUUUGAAUGGCAGGGAAGGUGGUGCCUUAGAAAUAAUUACCUGUGUACCCUGGUUGGGCCCUUGUAUGCUCCACCCAUGCUCUUCAGCCUACGGAGAGGUUCCUCAUCUGUAAAAUGGGUUGAUUGAGUUGUACUCUCUGGGACCUCCUUCUGACUCUGAUAUCCUGAACAUUGUCCUCAGACUGAGGAUCACAGGCAAAGUAAGAAAACAAUUUUUCCAGGGAAAAUUUGGAUUGAAUAACAAAGUUAGAGAAAUCACUUGUGAAACAUUCAGUAAGAGUCCAUAUGCAGGAAAAGAUAGAGAAUCUUUGUGCCAGACCUGCUCAGGGUUAAAAAUUCAAGUUUAUACUUACUGAGAUAAUGAGCUCUGUUACUCAUCACCUUGGUUAAAUAGCCAUCCACAGUUUAAAAAAUGCAGCUUGAAGACAGGUCUGUCUGUUUAAAAGUUCAUUGUGUCAAGGAAGAUUGGGCAAGGAUGUUUAGACUGAAUAUAAAUUCUUUUGGGGAGCACUUGGGAAUAAGAUACCUGUUUUAGCAAAUGCCCUUCAACUGUGCUCACCUUGGUUCCUUCAGGAAGAAAAACUGUCACUGCUUAUUUCAUGCAAAUGCUAUUUAAUAUUUGGGUAGAAGUAGAGAACUAAGUUUAGGAAUUCUAGUAUAAAAAGUAAAAACUCCAGCGUGUGUGAUUCAGAACAGGGAAACUUCUCCUAAGGACCAUACACCUCAGCCAAAGACCUUGGCCUUGGUAUUGAGGUGGUUCCUGAAGCUUCCAGAUAAACCAUGUUUCUACUAACUGAAAUUGUUUAUGCCAGGGCAGCCUUUCAGUAAAGUCAAAUCAUGCAACUUUUUAAUCUGUCUGUAUCUUGUUAUUUCAUUGGAAUUAAAUUCCUUGAAGAAUAGUAGAUAUAGAGUGAAACUAAUGAAAGAUACAAUCCUGUGCUUCAUGGUGUACAGUCUGAAAAUAAAUAGAUUAGACUGUGGACCAUUAGCCCUGUGUCCCAACUUCAUGGUCUUAUGUGGAUGCUGGUGAGGCCAGAGCGCUGGUCUGCCAGGGCAACUUAUUUAUUUUUGAAGGAGAGAGAGACAGAGCAUGAGCAGUUGGAGGAGCAGAGAGGGAGACAUAGAAUUUGAAGCAGGCUCCAGGCUCUAAGCUGUCAGCACAGAGCCCGAUGCGGGGCUCGAACUCACGAACUGUGAGAUCAUGACCUGAGCCGAAGUCAGAUGCUUAACCAACUGAGCCACCCAGGUGUCUCUGCCAGGACAACUUAGCAUCGCUGUUUUCCUGUUCAAAUUCUGUAUGCGAAAUCAUGCUGGUCAGCAAACGGAGGUGAGAGUGUCUUGUGAGAUAGAUGAGUGUGGCUUUGUUCCCACUGCCAGACAGGGUUUCCUCUUACAUCUUCCAUGCCAGCCAGAGGUUGCUGCCUGGGGUACUCUUUUAAGGAUCCUAAGGUCUGGUCUCAGCAGAGAGCAUGCUUGCAGGUAGAGCAAGGGCACCACCAUUCACACCCCUGCUCCAGGUGUCAGGAUGGUGAGGGCAUACUACCAUUAUGACACUGUGCUGUACUGAUUGACUCUGGUUAUAUGUAAAGAAUACUGUAUUCACUUUUAAAGUGAAUUUGAGUUAACUGAUUUCUCUUCAAUAUAGAAUUUCCAAAGUUGAAGCAAUCUUUGAGAUCAUCUGAUUUUAUGUCCUUAUUUUACACCAGAGGAACUGAGGCCCAGACAGCUAGUAGCAGUCAGGCUGAGGUACUUGGCCCUUUUGACUAGACUAUGCUGCUGCCUCAGACAGGGUGGUUGGUUUGUAUUCUUAAAUGAGGGCAUGUGUAUAUUCCAUCCAUCACUCCUGAUUCCACACUUGAGAGCAGAGAACAUUUCUUUUAUAUCUCUUUGUAUUCCACUGGAUUGUCUAGGAUUUCCAUAGAGUGGCUAUCGAGUAAUUGCUUAUUCCUUCAAAAAGCUUUUUAUCAACAAAACCUAUAAUAUGAUGCCAUUCCCACCCCCCAUCACAUUGGAAAAAAAAUUGAUAACAUGUUGUAUUGCCUAGGGAUGGAGGAACAGGCACUUUUAUACAUUACUCAUAGGACUAAGUUGGUGUCACUUCUGUGUAUGUCAGUUUAGCAAUAUCUGUCAGAAUUAAACAAAGACAUGUUCAUGACCCAGAGGUUCCAGUUCUAGGAAUUUAUUCUUCAGAGGUGGUUCACCGCAGCAUUGUUUAUAGUAGCAGAAGAUCAGAAACAAUGUAAGUGUCCAUUGACAGGGGACUGAUCAAAUGAAUUAUCACACAAUCAUAAAAUGGGGCAAUAGGUGCCUCUGAGGAGGGAGUGACGUGGCAGAAUUGUGGCUGAGCUAGGCUGAGAUCUCACAGAUGUGGCAGCAGAGGGGACUGAUGUGGCUACAGCCUGAGAGCUGUAAUAAAAGUACCAUAGAUGGGGUGACUUGAACAACAAACACAUUUCUCACAGCUCUGGAGGCUGGGAAGUCCCAAGAUCAGGGUGCUGGCAGAUUCUGUGUCUGGGAAUGGCCUGCUUUCUGAUUUAUAGAUGGCUGCCUUGUUGCUGUGUCCUCACAUGGUGGAAGGGGUUGGGGAGCUCUCUGGGGUCUCUUAUAUAAGGGCACUAGUCCCAUUGAUAAGGGGUCUAGCCUUUGACCUAAUCACCUCCUAGAGGCCCCACCUCCUAAUACCAUCGCAUUGGGGUUAGGAUUUCAAUAUGACUUUUAGGAGGCCAAAAACAUGCAGUCUGUAACAUUUACCCAUUCACCACUGAAGGGCAUCUUGGUUGCUUCCAGGUACAAUCAGUUAUGAAUAAAGUAGCUAUAAACAUCCAUAUGAAAGUUUUUGUGUAGACAUAAGUUUUCACCUCAUUUGAGUAAAUACUUGCUGGAUCAUUUUGUAAGAAUAUGUCAGUCAGUUAGUUUAUUAUUAAAGUAUAGUUGACAUACAAUGUUAGUUUAGUCUCAGGUGUACAACAGUGAUUCAGAAACAAUUCAGUAGCAAUUCAGUACAUUACUCAGUGCUCACCAUGAUAAGUGUAAUCACUGUCUGUCACCAUGCAAUGUUAUUACAGUACUAGUCAUAUUCCCUAUGGUGUACUUUUUAUCUCUGUGACUUACAUUAUAACUGGAAGUUUGUAUGUCUUAAUCCACUUCAGCUAUUUUGCUUAUUCUUACCACCCCCCACCCCCCACCUUGCAACCAUGUUUGUUCUUUGUAUUAAUGUCUGUUUUGGUUAUUUGUUCAUUUGUUUUUUAGAUUCCAUAUGUAAAUGAAAUCAUAUGGUAUUUCUUUGUCUGACUUAUUUUACUUAGCAUGAUGCCCUCUGGGUCUAUCCAUAUUGUCAAAAGUGGCAAGAUCUCAUUCUUUUUUUAUGGCUGAGUAAUAGUCCAUUGUGUAUAUAUACCACCCCUUUGUUAUCCAUUCAUCUGUGGGUAGACACUUACAGAAGUAAGAGUAUGUUUAGUUUUAUAAGAAGUUACUAGGGGUGCCUGGGUAGCUCAUUCAAUUAAGCAUCUGACUCUUAAUUUUGGUUCAGACAUUGGACUCUGUGUUGACAGCACAGAGCCUGCUUGGGAUUGUCUCUCUCUCCCUGCCCCUUACCUGUGCGUGUUCUCUCUCUCUCUCUCUCUC